GAAGCCGCCCGGAGGAGCCGGCGCCGCCGCAGCAGGAGCAGGCCCCGGCGGCAGCAGCGCCACCGGGAGGGCAACCCCGCCGCGCCCGGAGGAGGAGCCGGAGGACUGCCCUUGGCCGUGGGCCCCGGAGAGCUCGAUGCCCAGGUGGGGGAGGGGAGAGAAGACGCCCGGAGAAGCCGGCGCCACCGCAGCAGGAGCAGGCCCCGGCGGCGGCAGCGCCGCUGGGCAGGGCAACCCCGCUGCACCCGGAGGAGGAGGAGCCGGAGGGCUGCCCUCGGCCGUCAGCCCCAGAUUUGUAUUUGACCCAGAAUGCCUCUACCUACCUCCUCAUUUCGUGUUUCCCAAAUAAUAAGAAGUUUAUCAGAUCCUCCAGAAAUCAAUUGUGCCUCAUAUGCUGCGAGAGAGGGAAACAAACAAGGCUGAGCAAUCCAAAUCAAAACUACUUUGACUUUCAGGAGUUCUUCUUGCCAAUGGUCCCAUAAUCUCCCAAAGAGAGGGAAUUAAAGGCUCUUACAACUCUAAAGGAAGCAGACCCUGAAUCUCUGGC
Hemicordylus capensis (graceful crag lizard) is the source of this 547-nucleotide long non-coding RNA. RefSeq lists it as uncharacterized. NCBI's taxonomy places the organism in Eukaryota, Metazoa, Chordata, Lepidosauria, Squamata, Cordylidae. The record is from RefSeq and is a predicted model, not a curated record. The transcript is spliced from 3 exons.